AAGAAAGUCGUAAAGGUUACAGAUUGGCUUGAAACCAAUCUUUGAGGGCUCAAUUCCUUCCUUUCUUG
RNAcentral lists this transfer RNA (68 nucleotides) under Tupaia belangeri chinensis (Chinese tree shrew). RNAcentral's name for it is "Tupaia chinensis (Chinese tree shrew) tRNA". It matches the Rfam family "tRNA". Rfam says of the family: Transfer RNA (tRNA) molecules are approximately 80 nucleotides in length. Their secondary structure includes four short double-helical elements and three loops (D, anti-codon, and T loops). Lineage: Eukaryota; Metazoa; Chordata; Mammalia; Scandentia; Tupaiidae. The record is from Rfam by way of RNAcentral.